UACGAAGGGGGCUAGCGUUGCUCGGAAUCACUGGGCGUAAAGCGCACGUAGGCGGAUCUUUAAGUCAGGGGUGAAAUCCCAAGGCUCAACCUUGGAACUGCCUUUGAUACUGGGGAUCUCGAGUCCGGAAGAGGUUGGUGGAACUCCGAGUGUAGAGGUGAAAUUCGUAGAUAUUCGGAAGAACACCAGUGGCGAAGGCGGCUCACUGGUCCGGUACUGACGCUGAGGCACGAAAGCGUGGGGAGCAAACAGG
Molecule: ribosomal RNA, 253 nt
Filed under: uncultured bacterium
Lineage: Bacteria
Description: partial 16S ribosomal RNA
Rfam family: Bacterial small subunit ribosomal RNA
Source: RNAcentral